This 1151-nucleotide ribosomal RNA is filed under the name marine bacterium 10ORI5. RNAcentral's name for it is "bacterial SSU rRNA". It matches the Rfam family "Bacterial small subunit ribosomal RNA", at positions 36 to 1188 of the family's 1533-position model. The record is from RNAcentral.
CCAUGGGCGGCGGCCUACACAUGCAAGUCGAGCGGUAACAGAAAGUAGCUUGCUACUUUGCUGACGAGCGGCGGACGGGUGAGUAAUGCUUGGGAACAUGCCUUUAGGUGGGGGACAACAGUUGGAAACGACUGCUAAUACCGCAUGAUGUCUACGGACCAAAGGGGGCUUCGGCUCUCGCCUAAAGAUUGGCCCAAGUGGGAUUAGCUAGUUGGUGAGGUAAUGGCUCACCAAGGCAACGAUCCCUAGCUGGUUUGAGAGGAUGAUCAGCCACACUGGAACUGAGACACGGUCCAGACUCCUACGGGAGGCAGCAGUGGGGAAUAUUGCACAAUGGGCGCAAGCCUGAUGCAGCCAUGCCGCGUGUGUGAAGAAGGCCUUCGGGUUGUAAAGCACUUUCAGUCAGGAGGAAAGGUUAGUAGUUAAUACCUGCUAGCUGUGACGUUACUGACAGAAGAAGCACCGGCUAACUCCGUGCCAGCAGCCGCGGUAAUACGGAGGGUGCGAGCGUUAAUCGGAAUUACUGGGCGUAAAGCGUACGCAGGCGGUUUGUUAAGCGAGAUGUGAAAGCCCCGGGCUCAACCUGGGAACUGCAUUUCGAACUGGCAAACUAGAGUGUGAUAGAGGGUGGUAGAAUUUCAGGUGUAGCGGUGAAAUGCGUAGAGAUCUGAAGGAAUACCGAUGGCGAAGGCAGCCACCUGGGUCAACACUGACGCUCAUGUACGAAAGCGUGGGGAGCAAACAGGAUUAGAUACCCUGGUAGUCCACGCCGUAAACGAUGUCUACUAGAAGCUCGGAUCUUCGGAUCUGUUUUUCAAAGCUAACGCAUUAAGUAGACCGCCUGGGGAGUACGGCCGCAAGGUUAAAACUCAAAUGAAUUGACGGGGGCCCGCACAAGCGGUGGAGCAUGUGGUUUAAUUUCGAUGCAACGCGAGAAUCUUUACCUACACUUGACAUACAGAGAGCUUACCAGAGAUGGGUUUGGUGCCUUCGGGAACUCUGAUACAGUGCUGCAUGCUGUCGUCAGCUCGUGUGUGAGAUGUGGAUCAGUCCGCAACGAGCGUACUCCUAUCUUAGUUGCUAGCAAGUAAUGCUGAGAACUCUACGAACUGCCGUGCAUAGACCCGGUAGAAGGUUGGGGACGACGUUCA